RNAcentral lists this long non-coding RNA (3357 nucleotides) under Gallus gallus (chicken). The record is from RNAcentral. Lineage: Eukaryota; Metazoa; Chordata; Aves; Galliformes; Phasianidae.
GAAAUGGCAGCUGGCCCUGUUUGGGAAUUGGCUGCUACACAAACAGGAUGCAGAAGGGGUUGGGGUUUGGGCUGUUACUGUCGGCACCUCCGCUCCCCAGAGCAGAGCUGGGAAACGCCCGAGCAGCACUCAACAGCACAGAGCGUUUCUUUAACAAAGGAAGAAGAACAAGGGAAGCAAGGUUUGGUUCCACAAAUAGAUGAGCUUCCUGCAAACGGUGCCAGAAAGACAGCAGGGUUCUCAUUUAAGUGGCUCUCUGCCCUAAGCUUAAGCAAAGCUCGUGUCAGAUAUCAGCUAAAAAAAAAUAAUAAUAAUAAUAGAAUCUGCCUCUUACCUGACAUACUUGGAGAGUGGAGGCUUCAGGCUGUGCGUGGUCGACAUCCCUGAGGAAAUGUACCUGUCUCUUCUUCUCUCGAUCCGCCGCACGUUCACAAAAUCCCUGAGCAAAGAAAGGGCAACGACAGCUUUGAAACGUGCGUGAGACUUUGAAGGAGCAGAUCACACGCCUGGGGCUGCUGGGAAAGGCUGCGGCAGAGGACGGUGUUCAGAGGCUCAGGACAAAACAGCCCAAGAAACCGACCUGGGGGAAACGACGCCGCCUGCGGCCCCGGCUGCCACGUCGUACGAAACGAUCGUGUUGUCUUCAACCCUCUGCAAGACCUGGGAGAAAGGAAAGAGAGACCUCUUCAGCCCGCGCCUGCAGGUGCCAACAGCUGGGCACUGCAGCCCCUCACAGCUGGGAGCACACAGAGUACCUUCAGCAGCUGAUUUGGGGGGGGGGGCUCUGUGGCAGCACACGCACAGGAUCAUCUUCUCGGGCUGGAGAAUAACCUCCUGGUAAACCGUUUCAGCAGAGCACUGCAGGAAAGCCUGAGAACAGAGAGGGAGCAGUCAGCCAGUCCCCUGCUCCACUGGGGUAAGGUUAUUUCUAAGGAACGCAGAGCAGAUCAGAAAGAACAACAGGGAGGAAGCGGGAGGACGGCGGUGAGACCACAAAGCCAACGUCGUUACCUGCUGCCAAAGAGGGAGAAGGGCACGAAUGGGAUGAGAACUGGGGAUCAGCAGUAGCUGAGCCUGCUGGGAAGGGGCACAAGCAUCCAUCUGCACCAUAGCCACGAAGACAGAAUGAUCUCGGGCCCCUCUGCCCUCAGCCCACCUUCUCAGCAAUUGUGCUGCGUGUGCAAUUGCUUUGGAAAGUCACCAGAAAGAUUCUCAGAACUCCAGCACAGCUAACAUUCAUUUCUCCACGUCCCCGUGGGAUUGGGGACCUUCGGAAGCAAACGGUUAAUGCAGCAGAGCGGGACCAUCCAGCUUUGCCUCACCAACACAGAGCUGCUCCUCCAGCAGCUCUGCCAGCGAGGCAGCAUAUGCACUGGAACAAAGAAAAGCCACCGCAGCACCAAUGCUUCAUUAAAGCGUGGUUUACAGCCAAGCCACUCCAGCGAGAGGGCACAGAGCGUGGCACUUCCGAGCAGCUCUUCUCAAUGCCAGGCAGCAGCAGACGCACGCUCAGCCCUGGUCUUGCUGGCAAUUAGUUGCAAUUAGCCUCCUUGGUCAGAUUAGUCCUAGAUGCUGGGGUUGGAAGCGAGUCUUGCAGUCACCUGCUCCCACUUCCACCAGCAAAGACUGGGGCCCAGCAUAUUUGCCGGGGAGUUUGUCUGCCAGCCAAGGGGUUUUCCUGGAGAGAUUCCCUAAAGCGUGCAGAGCAGUUCAUCUGUCUCAAGCAAAGAGAGUGCUCUGCAGGCUGACCUGUGCUGCCAGGGCCAGGAGAGAGAGUGAAAGCUGAGCCGCGGCUCCAAGCAGAGCAGUGAUUUUGUAUGUAUCACACAGGCUAAGGAAGCAGAACAGGAAGGUUCUUACCUUUAAAAUAAAGGUCUUGCCAUGAAAAGGUAUUUCAAAAGUGUAAACAACGUCACCGAAGUCCUGUGCAAGAAACAAGAAAGUUUCAUUUACGUUGGCAAAAUAACAUUCACUGCUUCUACCCAAGGUAAAGCCUGAUGGUCUCAGGGCACUGCAGGAGGGCUGCAGGAUCUGGCCCACUCCAGCACCAUCCCAUAGGGCCAUUCUUGGCCCCAAACUGCUCCUGCUCCCCCACGCCAGGCAGCAAGCCCCAGAACAGGAACGGCACUGAGCCCACUUCAGAUGCCCAUGCACAAAUUUCCAUAAACAAACCAACAUCCAGAGAAGCAGCAGUGAUGAGACAGGAAAAGAAUCCACCCCGUGCCAGCCUGCAAACUCCGUUUCAAGGUCAAAUUCUCUUUGUAGCAAGCUACCAACACCAGGGUACGAGAGAGGGGUGAGUUUGCCAGCACUGCUGUUGUUACCUACAUCUGAGAAGAGACUCCCUGGAGGGGUUAGGGAUGGACAGAUGAUAACCUUUCAUCAUUAGCCCUGUGUUAAACUCUGAUUAGUCUAUUUAAAUCCAUCCCCCUUUGGAUAAAGAAAACAAUCUGCCCAGCUAGUUUGGCAUCAAACAAUGGAUCACUUGACAGGGGAAUUUUAAAUACCAGAUGAGACUGCAGUUUGCAGGACUCUCACCUCAACUGCAUUGCAAGCCCACAAGUAGAAAACAAGGUUGAUUUUCGGGGGGGAGAAGGGGGGCAGAGGCACUUUCACACCACUCUACAGAGACAAAAAGGAGCCCCAGCUACCCCAGAAAACUUUGCUGUAGCUUGAGGAAAAACACAUGGCAGGGCUCCCUGGUACACACUCCGCUAUCCACAGUGCCCCUGUCCUGAGGAAGGGGAUGUACACACAGCUUUGGGGGUAGGGCUGCAGGAGCUGCCUGUGCCCCACACACUCCUGCUCCAAGAAUGGCUGUAGCCCAACCAGCCAGAGCCUCCCCACACCCUGGUGUGUUCCUAAAAGCACGAUGCUCUGCAGCCCUCACAGCCACCAAAGGUGAGCUGCCCACCCCUGCCAGCCUGCUGUUGAGAUGGAGGAGUGACGGCCUCUCUCCCGUCAAACGGGAAGGCAAUUAAACGUCUAAUUAAAUAAGAGGGGGAUUUUACAUUUAACUGAGCUGGAAUAGAUUCCUAAUUCAAUCAGGUAAUUGUAACGCUUGUUAAUUUUUCAUGUUGCAAGGAGGUUUCAAAAGCCUCAUUUGUCCUCCAGUUUUUGCUAAGCCAUCCGUGCUCUUUGCCAGCGCUGCCCAGCAGUGGGGUGUGGGGGACACUUGCAUUGUUUUUCUCAAACUUCCAGUUCUCCUCCUGGGCGAGGAUUUGGUCCACAACUUCCAUAGCUUCUUUGCCUUGUCGGACAUAUUCUUUCUCCUAGGAGAAAAGGGAAUAUUUCAUCAGCAGGGUUUGCAGAAAGCCCCACAUGUGUGUGUGUGUGUGUCUGUGUGUGUGUGUGUGU